AAAAAUAUUUUGGCCUUGUGCCUUGGCAGAAUCGUUAGCACGCCGAGCAAAAUGCUUAGCAGCAUUUCGUCCGUCUUUACGUUGUGCAAUCAAACUCUGCCGAAGUCAGCUUCGUCUUUCAUCCUUUCAGGGUCGAUAAAAUAAGUACCAGUUGAGCCCUGGGAUCA
Molecule: long non-coding RNA, 167 nt
Organism: Octopus sinensis (East Asian common octopus)
Lineage: Eukaryota; Metazoa; Mollusca; Cephalopoda; Octopoda; Octopodidae
Exons: 3
Source: RefSeq, a predicted model, not a curated record